RNAcentral lists this ribosomal RNA (443 nucleotides) under uncultured bacterium. RNAcentral's name for it is "partial 16S ribosomal RNA". It matches the Rfam family "Bacterial small subunit ribosomal RNA", at positions 338 to 795 of the family's 1533-position model. The record is from RNAcentral.
CCUACGGGAGGCAUCAGUGGGGAAUAUUGGGCAAUGGAGGAAACUCUGACCCAGCAACGCCGCGUGAAUGAUGAAGGUCCUCGGAUUGUAAAGCUCUUUUCUAAGGGAAGAAGAAAGUGACGGUACCUUAGGAAUAAGCCUCGGCUAACUACGUGCCAGCAGCCGCGGUAAUACGUAGGAGGCAAGCGUUAUUCGGAAUGACUGGGCGUAAAGGGUGCGUAGGUGGUUUGACAAGUUGGUAGCGUAACUCCGAGGCUUAACCUCGGCACUGCUACCAAAACUGUUGGACUCGAGUGCAGGAGGGGCAAAUGGAAUUCCUGGUGUAGCGGUGGAAUGCGUAGAUAUUAGGAAGAACACCGGUGGCGAAGGCGAUUUGCUGGACUGUAACUGACACUGAGGCACGAAAGCGUGGGGAGCAAACAGGAUUAGAUACCCCAGUAGUC